CCAUAAUAGAAGGAAACAAGAGAGUUAAUUGAGUGUAAUCCAGCAGAUGUGAUGACGUUAGUGAGACUGUAGUGAAGUAUCCACCAGCAAAGAGAAGUCCAGUGUCUUGAGGAGCAAGAAGUGACAAUCAGGAUUUCCAGAAAGAACACCAUGGACUUGGCCUCUUAAGAUUCAUUUCAGGCUUUCUGACCUCCAGAACUGAAGGUUUAAUGCUGUG
Ochotona curzoniae (black-lipped pika) is the source of this 217-nucleotide long non-coding RNA. RefSeq lists it as uncharacterized. Lineage: Eukaryota; Metazoa; Chordata; Mammalia; Lagomorpha; Ochotonidae. The record is from RefSeq and is a predicted model, not a curated record. The transcript is spliced from 3 exons.